Molecule: ribosomal RNA, 497 nt
Filed under: uncultured bacterium
Lineage: Bacteria
Description: partial 16S ribosomal RNA
Rfam family: Bacterial small subunit ribosomal RNA
Source: RNAcentral
GAUGAACGCUGACGGCGUGCCUAAUACAUGCAAGUCGAGCGAACGGACGAGAAGCUUGCUUCUCUGAUGUUAGCGGCGGACGGGUGAGUAACACGUGGAUAACCUACCUAUAAGACUGGGAUAACUUCGGGAAACCGGAGCUAAUACCGGAUAAUAUUUUGAACCGCAUGGUUCAAAAGUGAAAGACGGUCUUGCUGUCACUUAUAGAUGGAUCCGCGCUGCAUUAGCUAGUUGGUAAGGUAACGGCUUACCAAGGCAACGAUGCAUAGCCGACCUGAGAGGGUGAACGGCCACACUGGAACUGAGACGCGGUCCAGACUCCUACGGGCGGCAGCAGUAGGGAAGCUUCCGCAAAGGGCGAAAGCCUGACGGAGCAACGCCGCGUGGGUGAUGAAGGUCUUCGGAUCGUAAAACUCUGUUAUUAGGGAAGAACAUAUGUGUAAGUAACUGUGCACAUCUUGACGGUACCUAAUCAGAAAGCCACGGCUAACUACGUG